Molecule: transfer RNA, 71 nt
Filed under: Blattella germanica (German cockroach)
Lineage: Eukaryota; Metazoa; Arthropoda; Insecta; Blattodea; Blattellidae
Description: tRNA-Gly (CCC) (tRNA-Gly-CCC-6-1)
Rfam family: tRNA
About the family: Transfer RNA (tRNA) molecules are approximately 80 nucleotides in length. Their secondary structure includes four short double-helical elements and three loops (D, anti-codon, and T loops).
Source: RNAcentral
GCGUCGGUGGUUCAGUGGCAGAAUGUUCGCCUCCCAAGCGGACGACCCGGGUUCAAUUACCGGCCGAUGCA